Molecule: long non-coding RNA, 1602 nt
Organism: Drosophila subpulchrella
Lineage: Eukaryota; Metazoa; Arthropoda; Insecta; Diptera; Drosophilidae
Exons: 3
Source: RefSeq, a predicted model, not a curated record
UGCCGAGUGGGACUUUGCUCUCCACAUGGACAUCCUGCCGGGCGUAUCCUCGUAAAGAAACAGAACCACCAGUAAUGCGAUAUCCGACGACCUCUUCAUUAGGACUCCGGACACCACCACCACCAGCUACUUGGCAGCUUAAGCGAAGCUGGAGGACCCGCUGGUUUCUAUGGGGAGGAGGAAAGUAGGGCGCCCGCUAAGGAACAGUUGGAGAAGCCAUAGCCAGUGACUGCCAGGAUGCUGGGCGACUUCCUGCAGCAUCAGCGGAACAACCCUGUUCCCAAUCCUGAUCCCACUUCCUCAAGGUACAAUAUGUCUAUUGGGACUCGGAGCUGGACUGCGGUGGCGCGGGAAAGAUGGCGAAGCAUCCGUGGGACGAGAAGGCUUUAGACUACUAGUUUUCUUAAAUCAAAAAAUUCGUUGAACAUUCCAUUUAUUUUAAUUUUAGUUCCUUUGAGCACCAGUACACUCUUCUUUUUAAAUUGCUCCAAAUGAUUUGUUUUCCGUUUGGCAACAAAAGCAGCUACUUGACAGUGAACUUUGAAAAUUUCGGUCGCACUACAAAAAAUACGAUUUUUUGACUAGUGAAACACUUAUCCGAUCUGAGUACUAGGUUUUAUGGUUUAAGCCUUCUAGUCACAUCGACGAAAACCUCGAGCUAACAAUAUCAGAGAGCUAGUGGCAAAUAGGUGGCUAACGCUUUUCGACGGCUUCUUUUCUCUUCGAGGUACUCAGAUGAGCAAAGGAAAUUAAAAAAAAAUACCAUAUUUUUGAGUUGAUUCCGAUGAACGCCUUUAGCAGCGGCGCAAAGGACAAGAACUUAAACUUUCGGUGUGUUCGCGCAAAAGCGGUGUGGAGAUUAAAAAUUAAAAAUGGAAGGAAAACCUCAAAAACGCCUGCAGGAGGUCAGUGCAAAUGAAAAAGGACGCCUAGUCGAAGCUUUUGCCCAGUAUUGUCGGACUUGACCCACAGGAAGCAAAACGAAAACAGAAGAUUAGAAGUGCUGGAGGUGGUCUAGUGGAGCCACAUUGACUUUUUUCCGGAAGUGUCCUCGCAAAGAAAAACCACCAGUAAUACUAUCUGCUACGAGUUCUCCAUUGGGGAAUUGUUGAGCUCCACCAGCACCAGCUCUUGGCAGCGAAUGCGGAGCUGGAGGUCGCGCUGGCUUCUAUAGGGAGGAGAAAAAAGCCCGCCCGUAAAGGGACAGCUGGAGGAGCCAGUCAUUGCCAGGAUGCUGGGAGACUUCCUGCAGCAUCAGCGGAACAACCUCGUUCCCAAUCCAGCUCAUUCUCACUUAAGGUCCAUGUUGGCAUAUUUCGAAUUGGAGCUUGACUGCAGAUGGCGCGGAGAAGAUUGCGAAGAAUCCGCGACACUAGAAGGGAGCCUUAAAUUAUUAGUUAACAUAAACAAAAACAUUCUUUGAACAUUCCAUAUAUAUUUAUUUAUUUGUGGACCAGCAGAUUCGUCUUUUUAAAAUCUUCCAAAACAAGAAAGGAAGUUAACUUCGGCAAGCUGAAGUUUGUAUACCCUUGCAGUUAUAAUUAUGAAAUUUAAGAAUACAAGAAAUGAUAUUCCCAAUAGUAUAACUUUAUAUGUCAAAAA